This 463-nucleotide ribosomal RNA is filed under the name uncultured bacterium. RNAcentral's name for it is "partial 16S ribosomal RNA". It matches the Rfam family "Bacterial small subunit ribosomal RNA", at positions 28 to 507 of the family's 1533-position model. The record is from RNAcentral.
GACGAACGCUGGCGGCGUGCUUAACACAUGCAAGUCGAGCGGUAAGGCCCUUCGGGGUACACGAGCGGCGAACGGGUGAGUAACACGUGAGUAAUCUGCCCAUCACUUCGGGAUAACUCCGGGAAACCGGUGCUAAUACCGAAUAUGACCACUUCAGGCAUCUGAUGGUGGUGGAAAGUUCCGGCGGUGAUGGACGAGCUCGCGGCCUAUCAGCUUGUUGGUGGGGUAGUGGCCUACCAAGGCUUCGACGGGUAGCCGGCCUGAGAGGGUGACCGGCCACACUGGGACUGAGACACGGCCCAGACUCCUACGGGAGGCAGCAGUGGGGAAUAUUGGACAAUGGGCGAAAGCCUGAUCCAGCAACGCCGCGUGAGGGAUGACGGCCUUCGGGUUGUAAACCUCUUUCAGCAGGGACGAAGCGCAAGUGACGGUACCUGCAGAAGAAGCACCGGCCAACUACGUG